UACGAAGGGGGCUAGCGUUGCUCGGAAUCACUGGGCGUAAAGCGCACGUAGGCGGAUUGUUAAGUCGGGGGUGAAAUCCUGGAGCUCAACUCCAGAACUGCCUUCGAUACUGGCGAUCUUGAGUCCGGGAGAGGUGAGUGGAACUCCGAGUGUAGAGGUGAAAUUCGUAGAUAUUCGGAAGAACACCGGUGGCGAAGGCGGCUCUCUGGGCCUUACCUGACGCUGAGGAGCGAAAGCGUGGGUAGCGAACAGG
This 253-nucleotide ribosomal RNA is filed under the name uncultured bacterium. Its description in RNAcentral is "partial 16S ribosomal RNA". It matches the Rfam family "Bacterial small subunit ribosomal RNA", at positions 524 to 776 of the family's 1533-position model. The record is from RNAcentral.